UUGUCUCAAAGAUUAAGCCAUGCAUGUAUAAGUAUAAACGAUUUUAAUCGUGAAACCGCGAACGGCUCAUUAUAACAGCUAUAAUUUACUUGAUCUUGACAAUCCUACUUGGAUAACUGUGGUAAUUCUAGAGCUAAUACAUGCACCAAAGCUCCGACCGUGCAGACGGGAGGAGUGCAUUUAUUAUUUGAAAACCAAGCGACUUCGGUCGUCUUUUGUUGACUCAGAAUAACUAAGCUGAUCGCAUGGUCUUGUACCGGCGACGUGUCUUUCAAGUAUCUGCCUUAUCAACUUUCGAUGGUAGUGUAUCUGACUACCAUGGUGGUGACGGGUAACGGAGGAUAAGGGUUCGACUCCGGAGAAGGGGCCUGAGAAAUGGCCACUACGUCUAAGGAUGGCAGCAGGCGCGCAAAUUACCCACUCUCAGAACAUUGAGGAGGUAGUGACGAAAAAUAACGAGGUGCUUCUCUACGAGGCGCACCAUCGGAAUGGGUACAAUCUAAACCCUUUAACGAGUAUCUAUGAGAGGGCAAGUCUGGUGCCAGCAGCCGCGGUAAUUCCAGCUCUCAAAAUGCAUAGAAUUAUUGCUGCGGUUAAAAAGCUCGUAGUUGGAUCUGUGGCCGGGAGUCGGUCGCGCUUUCGGGUGCGUACUGCUAACCCGGCCUUGUUUGCCGGUUUUCUCCUCGUCGGUCUUCACCGACUGCGGGGGGUGGCUGGCGAUUUUACUUUGAACAAAUCAGAGUGCUUAACACAGGCGUUUCGCUUGAAUGUUCGUGCAUGGAAUAAUAGAAAAGGAUUUCGGUUCUAUUUUAUUGGUUUUAUAGACUGAGAUAAUGGUUAACAGAGACAAACGGGGGCAUUCGUAUUGCUGCGUGAGAGGUGAAAUUCUUGGACCGCAGCAAGACGAACUACAGCGAAAGCAUUUGCCAAGAAUGUCUUCAUUAAUCAAGAACGAAAGUCAGAGGUUCGACGGCGA
Molecule: ribosomal RNA, 976 nt
Filed under: Filenchus sp. C102
Lineage: Eukaryota; Metazoa; Nematoda; Chromadorea; Rhabditida; Tylenchidae
Description: SSU rRNA
Rfam family: Eukaryotic small subunit ribosomal RNA
Source: RNAcentral